CCACGAGAUAAUGAAAAUUGAUGAGAUUAUAAGCCCAAGGUAGUGCCUCACCAUGAAUACAUAAGUACUUGCGGACGGCUACAUAAACGGCUAUAUUCCCAACGGCCAUAUUCCAUAAACGGCUAUCACUAUUCCCUCUCCAUAGGAACUCACCGCCGCCGGUGUUCGUUCUCUUCCCACCAACGGAAUUCCGGCAACCGACGUCUGGGCAGAGGAUUCUACUAAAAGGGAAUCUGGCACUAAGGUUCAUCAUGCUAACAUCCGAGCAGCUAAGGUACCCUACCGGCAAACCAACAAUUGGGAUCAGUUUAUCGGAGUACCAGACAAGAUAACGACCGACAACCAAUUUCAAAUCAGCAAUUCAACAGAGAGAACAGCUUCAACUUCGACGGCACGCCACCAGGAUAGCCACCAGCUAAGGGCAUUGUCCUCUUCCCUUUUCUUCCUUUCAUUUAUCUUUUCAUUUAUUUUUUUUAUAUUUACUUAUUGUGUUUGUUUUAGUGUAGCCUAUUGUGUGAUAUUGUUUUGUUGUGCUUUAGUUAGUGUUCUGCACCGAGAUUGGGUCCUCCGGACUCUUAAUCUUGCACACAAUCAGUCCUCUGCAUUACGUGGAGGAUGAUUGACUCAAACUCACACAAAACAACCGCCAAUCAACCCAAGAAACCAAUUCUUGGUUUUCAGGCCAGCCUUGGUCACCCUCUGAUUUGGCUUCACUCACCAACGAGAAAUGACCCCCCACACCCUCCCUCGAGUUCCACUCAAAUAAGGGAAGAUGACACUCUAAAUUGUUCCACAAUUAGAGUGUAGAAGAUGUUCCACACGUUCUUGCAAAGCUGAGAUUGUAAUGACAAACACACACAAAGGAGAGGAAUAUAACCUUGAGGAAAUGAAGAAGAAUUCUUAUUAAUCACCAAACUUAAUAAAUGUACAUGAGAGACAACCUAUAUUUAUAGUUUUCUAGCUAGCUAACGGCUAAUAACAUCACGUGCAUUACAUCAUGUGUUUUAAAAACACAAAACAGAAGCAUAAAACUAAGUCAGAACACUGAUUCUGAUUUCAGCACCAGCCUGCUGACUGGGAAACCUUGCACAUGGAUUUUAGAGAGUUGUGUGAGUCAUCAAUAGGGUUCUUGGCCCUUGAUGGCUAGGUCCAUGUGCCAAGAUUCCAUUUCUACAUUAGUCCAGGCCCUGGGUGCACAGGUCUGGUCUCCACGUGUCGUGCAAGGUGGCUUGGUCGCUAGCUGCUGUGCUGUUCUGUAUGGUCUGUAUGGGCUGUUCUGAUCUGCGAUUGGGUUCCUUUGGGCUUCCGUUCCAAGUGAUUGUGUGCGCUUCCAGCAUGGAUCUUGGACCUUGAUGGCUUGGUCCAUGUAUGGAGAUCACGUUUCCAUGGUUGUUUGGCCCCAGGUCUCCUUGGUUAAGGCUCAAACCACGCUGCAAAGUAAGCUGGUCAGCGGGUGUCUUGCUAUUUUGACCUGCUGCUGUUUUCUGUUCUUGCUAAGCAUUCUGAUGUGUAUGUGGGUUUGCUGUGUUGUUCUUUGUAUGAUAACCUUGAUUCUUUGUGUGAUCUUCAUCCUUAUGAGUUGAGUGAGGUUGAGGUGCAUCUUCAUUAGUUUGUACUGAACCAUGGGCUGAGGUAUGUUUGAGGUUAGGCACACAUGGUUCAUGUUCCCUUUAAAGUUUUUUUGGUAACCUUUCUAACUUAGUCCUGAGUAAUUGAAUAUAGAGUUAGAAAGCAAUUGUGGUCUUAUUAUUAUUAUUAUUAUUAAUAUUAUUAUUAUUAUUAUUAUUAUUAUUGUUAUUAUUAUUGUUAUCAUUAUUGUUAUCGUUCGUUAUCGUCAUCGGUCUUUGCUUCCUGAGGUUAAGGCUGGCUGUGUCAUUAAUCUUACUUCCAAACUUUUCAUCCUUAGCUGGUUUUGCAUUAUUACCUUUUGAAGAAUUGAUGAAGAACCCAUUAUUUAGCACUUGAAGAAUUGAUGAAGAACUCAUUUGUUGUCUAGUAGGAAUUGGAAUAUAUCCAUCAACAGCAUCCAUAAGUUUAUAAAUUUUAUCAACCCAUUCAUUUUCAGUUUUCACCCCUCUUAAUAUUAGGGUUCUUCAUCAAUUUAUCAAUUCUUAUUUUGAGAUAUGCAUUAUUUUAUUCCCAACAAAUUAAAUAAUUUUUAUUGUUCAUUAUUAGAUCUAAUCUAAAUUAUUAAAUAAAUUAGUUGUGUUAAUUUUAUUGUUAUUAUUAUUAUUAUUGUUAUUAUUGUAAUUAUUAUUAUUAUUAUUAUUAUUAUUAUUAUUAUUGUCAUUAUUAUUAUUAUUAUUAUUAUUAUUAUUAUUAUUAUUAUUAUUGUCAUUAUUAUUAUUAUUAUUAUUAUUAUUAUUAUUAUUAUUAUUAUUAUUAUUAUUAUUAUUAUUAUUAUUAUUAUUAUUAUUAUUAUUAUUAUUAUUAUUAUUAUUAUUAUUAUUAUUAU
Molecule: long non-coding RNA, 2455 nt
Organism: Amaranthus tricolor (Joseph's coat)
Lineage: Eukaryota; Viridiplantae; Streptophyta; Magnoliopsida; Caryophyllales; Amaranthaceae
Exons: 3
Source: RefSeq, a predicted model, not a curated record